RNAcentral lists this transfer RNA (66 nucleotides) under Streptomyces sp. Act143. Its description in RNAcentral is "tRNA-Lys". It matches the Rfam family "tRNA", at positions 1 to 63 of the family's 71-position model. Rfam says of the family: Transfer RNA (tRNA) molecules are approximately 80 nucleotides in length. Their secondary structure includes four short double-helical elements and three loops (D, anti-codon, and T loops). Further hydrogen bonds mediate the characteristic L-shaped molecular structure. tRNAs have two regions of fundamental functional importance: the anti-codon, which is responsible for specific mRNA codon recognition, and the 3' end, to which the tRNAs corresponding amino acid is attached (by aminoacyl-tRNA synthetases). tRNAs cope with the degeneracy of the genetic code in two manners: having more than one tRNA (with a specific anti-codon) for a particular amino acid; and 'wobble' base-pairing, i.e. permitting non-standard base-pairing at the 3rd anti-codon position. The record is from RNAcentral. Lineage: Bacteria; Bacillati; Actinomycetota; Actinomycetes; Kitasatosporales; Streptomycetaceae.
GCGCCGCUAGCUCAGUUGGUUAGAGCAGCUGACUCUUAAUCAGCGGGUCCGGGGUUCGAGUCCCUG